This 438-nucleotide long non-coding RNA is filed under the name Selaginella moellendorffii. RNAcentral describes it as "long non-coding RNA (SMOE_LNC000608)". Lineage: Eukaryota; Viridiplantae; Streptophyta; Lycopodiopsida; Selaginellales; Selaginellaceae. The record is from RNAcentral.
AAAAAAUUAGGGUUCUUGGAAAAAUGGGCGUUCAUAGAAAAAUUAGGGUUCUUGGAGAAGUCACAAACUUUUACUAGAGGUCGUGCAAAAAGAGUUUUGAAGAAGGCUCUUCAGUAGCCUCCCUUGAGAUCGUUGACAACAUCGUAUGGCACAGGAGUGACAGUCUCUAGCGUCGCGCCCUCGACGAUAAAUCCAGGCUUUGGCCCCGCGGGCUGGCGCUUGAGGCACGUCUUGUUGCCACUCUUCCUCGCCUCCGCACUGCUCUUGAUUCUCUUGAGGAAAUCCUCCCGGCAGCGCGAGGGCUUGACGUGCUCGAUCCGGACGUGUAGCCUCUUCUUGAUGAUCCUGUUCCCCACCUAGCAGAAGAAGCCAAGAAUCCACAUCAAAAUCUUGCGAAAACCCACAUCGAAUUGGAAUAGAAAGACGAAAAGAUUGAUG